Molecule: long non-coding RNA, 478 nt
Filed under: Elaeis guineensis (African oil palm)
Lineage: Eukaryota; Viridiplantae; Streptophyta; Magnoliopsida; Arecales; Arecaceae
Description: long non-coding RNA (EGUI_LNC005036)
Source: RNAcentral
GCAGAGGCCGGGUUUACCAGGGGGAGAUCAGUGGCCAACAGAGGCCGGAGAGACCAGUGGGGCGACAAUGGAGGUUGGGGAGACCGGUGGGGUGAUGUAGAUCGAGGAGACCGAUGGGGCGAUGCAGACUGGUGGGGCUACGGAGACUGUUGGACCGUCGACGGAGAUGGAAGCACUGGGACCUACCUGCUGCCGGCAGCGGGGGUGCUGUCGUUGGAGGGCGGUGAGGUCUGUAAGUCUGCUGACCUUUUUCGCAUGCUUUUCACCCAACCUUCAAAGACCCAGGCCGCUCUCUCCGAAGUAUCCUCCUCGAGGCCUCCAAGGGCAGUGGAGACGGAGGCGGAUCCAUCUUCGGAGCUUGGUGGGUGAGCUUUCACCGAGCGGAGCCGAGGCCCACAAUUGCAACUUUUUUUUUUUAUUUUCUUGGCAACCAAACAAAACUUUCGAUGAAUUCUUGGAGUAAUUCUAGAUGGUGCAG